Non-coding RNA from Peromyscus maniculatus bairdii (prairie deer mouse), 788 nucleotides. NCBI's taxonomy places the organism in Eukaryota, Metazoa, Chordata, Mammalia, Rodentia, Cricetidae. The record is from RefSeq and is a predicted model, not a curated record.
UACCAACAGGCUAUGGGGCAUUUAUUCAGUGCCUUUAUGGUUAACCUAUAGACAUGGUGGCAACAUGAAGCAAACUACUUGGAAAAGAGAAUGGAGAGCAUAGAGAGACUAGACAGAGGCAGAAGGAACCGUUGGUUCUUUUGCAAAACAGCAAUACACAAACCUUCUGGGAACAUUGAAUCUUGGCAGGGGAUGGAGUGCUUUCUGCAGGAGAGCAGAUAUGGAGUCAAGGAUUUCUGAUGAUUAUUUUGGCAGAGAUCCAGGAAUUGUCCAGGCUGCAUAUUCUGACUUCCCAGCUAUAAAGCAAGAGGUUGGUUGCACUGGACUUUGAGUAUGUAAUGUACAGUGCACCCAUAGAAGCAUGUGCUGUGGAAGAAAAAUGGGAAGCGCUCUAGGAGAUUAAAGAAUAUUACCAAACUACCAAAUUCCCUGGUUAGUGUCCUAUCCAAUCAUAGUGUGGAAGGACCCACCUGGCAGGGUUUUUUCUCUCUGAGUCCUUUGAACUCUGCUCACCCAGUAGGGAAAUUGCUAAUGUCCUGAAGCCCAGCUGGGUGGUCCUAGCUGAUGAGGGACUUUGGGGAGAGUUAGCAAACAAGAGCAUCAGCAGAAGGUAGCUUCCAGUUUCUUUCCAGGAUUCUCCUCUUGUUCUGCUCUAGUACUCUUCAAAUACAUGAAACAACACCUACUGGAGAGAAACCCUAUGAAUGUAAUCUGUGUGAUAAAGCCCUUGUAUAUAUCAGUAGUCAUUGAAAUCAUUAGAAAAAAUCAUACUGCAGAGAAAUCCUACA